This 5823-nucleotide long non-coding RNA is filed under the name Medicago truncatula (barrel medic). RNAcentral's name for it is "long non-coding RNA (MTRU_LNC007742)". The record is from RNAcentral. Lineage: Eukaryota; Viridiplantae; Streptophyta; Magnoliopsida; Fabales; Fabaceae.
UUCAACGCUUACGGCACGGUAGUAUGAAUUGUAUUGUGGAUUCAUCUGAUGAUUAUAAUAGGUAGUAGGUGUACCAUAGAGCAUGAAAGGAUUAAUUAUCAUUGUUGAAUCUUUCUUAUCAUCUUCCUUCUUUUUAUCAUCUUUUUUAGGUUCUUCUUUCUUUUCCUCUUUAGCUGGUCCAACUGAAAGUAUUUCUGCAUGACAUAACUUCCUUAACUUAGCCACUACACGUAUUGGAUCAAUAUCUCCUAUUAAGGUCAUUUUCUUGUCUUUCAUGUCUAUUGAAACUGAUUCAACCCCUGCAACAAUAUUACAAAUACAAUCUUAGCAUAUCAUUAAAAAAUUUAAUGAAGUAUUGAUUCGAUAGAUUUGGAUUGUGUAGUGUGACCGUACACAAUCGUCCAUAUCUAAACUGUCCAAUCAGAUUUUCAAUUUCCAAUACACUUUAUUAAUCUAAAAUAUCGAACUUAUAACUCACUAUCAAUAGAAUUUAUUUUUUUCAUGAAUUAAAAAAGCAGAAUUUUAGUUAAUUCAAUACCUGAAAGGCCAGAGACUGCUUUCAUAGCUUUUUGCUUGAUUUUGUCUUCAUUUAUUUCCAACUUUAACACAACUUUCUGUAACAAAAAUAUCAAGUAGUUGUUAGAACAGAACACUUACUUUCCUUCUAACUCUAAAACUAAGAUUACCAAAGAACUAGUUGAAAAUUCACCAAUCAUACUUUAGCUAUGAUGAAGGAGAUAAAAAGUGGUUUUAAUGAAGGUAAAGUAUUAACUAACCUUCAUAUUGUUAUGGAAGCUACUGAGCUGAGGUAGAAGAACUCUUGAUGCAAAUUGUAAUAGAAGGGAAAGAAAAGUUAAGGAGAUAAUUUUUGAAUUUGAAAUUAAGUUAUGAAAUGAAGAUGAUAAUUUGAUGAUUAUUUAUAGUAUAAGGUAUGGAAGAGUUGAUGAUAGAGGUUGGCUGGGUCAACCGAAACUAGUCAAGACAAGUACUGGUGUAGUGUGUGGUCUUCUUCGAAGCUAGUAGGAGAAAUAAAAGACUUUUUCUAAUCUAUAGUUUGUUUGAUUUCCAAAUUCCAAUAUACCGUUCCUUCGUGGAACAACGGAACCUACAAAAAUCAAAUCAAAAAGUAAUGGUUAAGGUGAUAAAUUUAUUAUUUUAGUUAUGGUGGGUUCUAUCGUGGACCUACGGUUGAUUAGUACUUAAAACUUUAACAUACGUCAUAGAAUUAGAAGUUCACUGUUGUCUUAAUCUUUUACAGCUGAGGCAAUAACUUGAUCCAUGUUAGAUUCAACAAAAGUAUAAAAAAAAAAAAUCAAAGAGUUGUUGUGGCACACAUGUUUGUUUUUUCUUGUUUUUGUUGUCAUCAUUCUUAUCGUCUUAGUUGUGAGAUAAGAAGAAACAUGAACCUUAUCUUAAAAAAGAUGAUGUUUGUAGUUGUUGGUGUUUUUAACUAUUUUCAAAUAAUUGUUAAUGACAAACCAUGUAUUAAAAGUGUUUAAUGUAGAAUGUUGCAUCUACAAGCUCAUCAUUUGCAUCCUUUCUUAGCUUUGACCGAGUUUCCAUUGGAGUAAUUGCUGGAUUGCAGCUAUUCAUUUUGAGUCUCUUCAAAAUGGCAGCAUAUUUUUGAUGCAAUAAUACUCCAUUUCAUGUUUUUAUUUCAAAAAAAAAAUUAAAUUCCAUUCCCGUGAAAAAACAAAGGUUCCCUGAGUCUGACAUUUCAAACGCAUGCAUCAUGCUAGCUUUGGACUUCAUUAGUUCAUCCUCAUUUAAACGUGUGAUCAACAAAUCAUCUACAUAUAAGUACAGAAUAAUCUGAUUUUGCUUAUUUGAACACUUCACAUAAACUCCUUGUUCUGAAUUCUGAUAUGCGUUUGGUGAAUCCCAAUUUAAUAAGAAUCGGAGUUCAAAUCUCGACCACCACCUAAAAAGUUGCCACUAAAAAACAAUUUUUCUAGAGAAUUUCAGUUUCAUUUUUGAAUGAAACAAUUACCAUAAACAAUUAUCUAAUUAUUGGUCCACCAAGGACAAUUACCAGACACUUCUAGCCGGUUCUAGGUCCCUUAAUAAAGUUAAAAUGUCGUUGUAUUAAAUUCGCCGCCGUACUCAAAUAGACUAGAGUAUGAUGCUUACGCUUGAGAUGAUGAAACAUAUUCAACGAUAUAUUAAUCAUUUGAAACAAAAAAAAAUAUUAAUCAUUUGAAACAAAGGACAUUACUCAAUGCUAGCCGAAGAUAAACACUUGUUUAUUUGUUUUUAUUAAUUAAUUAAUAAUUAAAUGUAAAAGUAUAUUUAUAGCUGUAACAUAUUUUGGUGGUGGUUGAGGUUUGAACCAUGAGCUUGUAUAUACUACAUUCGUCCAUAAUUAUAAUGCCCUUUUGAAAAAAUAACGGGAAUUAAGAUAGUGAAUAUUUGUAUUAAAUAUGUUUGUAAUUACUAUUGUUUUUACAAUUUUAUCAUUUAAGAAAGAGAGUUGGCUAAUGUUUUCAACAUUCUAUUUAUUGCUGAUUGAAAAAAAAAUGUAUAAUAAAUAGGGGCAUGUAUGUAAAGAAAUAAUUAAUAUAGUUGAAAAUAGAAUAGGGGUCUUAUAGAAAGGGACAAAAAAUUUUCUCAAAAGGGUCUUAUAAUUAGCGACGGAUGUAGUAUUAUAAACUAUCUCUACCAACUUACCUAAUUUUAUAAGAACUAUCAAUUGUAACAUCUAUUAUGAUUAAAUAUUUAGUAAAUAAAAUUAAAAUAAGCUCUUUCUAUAGUGUUUCAUAUUGUUCUUAUUGUUGCGGAGUAGUUUAUAUUCUAAUUGAGUUUAACUAUUUUUUUUAACUUAAUUAUAUUAUAUAAAGGAUAAAGUAAAUAAAAUAAUUUAAAUGACAAGUAAAAAUGAAAAAGGAAAAAAAAACCACAUCAAAAUCAUGUUUUGAUUUGAAUCUAUUGUCAUAAUGUUUAAUAUGAUUUGAUUAGGAUUUAAGAUUCACCAAAACUUUAUUUUUUAAAUAAAACUGUUGUUGCUUUUCCUCUCACAAUAAUGAGUUCAAAAUAUUCUUGUUAAUUACUACAUUUUAUAGAUAACAGUAGUAAGUAAAGUAUAUUAUUGUUUGUUUUUCCUUCUCGAUCCUUAUGAAUAAUAUUUCACAUUAAUUUUAAUGUAAGUGUAUAACAUUAUGUGAUAGCAGUGGCGGAGCCAAAAAAAUAGUUCGGAUUAGAGCUGUCAAAACGGGCUAGUCCGAAUAGGGCGGCCCGUUAGCCCGAGUAAAACUUAGGGUUUGGGCACAAAAAUUCUAGCCCGAAUUUUUCCAGGGUUUUUUAGCCCGACCCGAAAAAGCCCGCAACCCGUUUGGGCUGGCCCGCUCGGGCUAAGGGCAGCCCGCAAAAAAAAUAUAAGUUGGUUCAGUUUUGGUGUGGAGUGAAUGAAGGAUCAAGUGCAGACCAAGGAAUAAGCUUCCAACCAACUUUAAGUAAUGUCUAUAUUUUUCAUUCUGAGUUGAAACCAUUAUGUGUAUUCGAUCAAGUGUAGAAAUUGAAAGACUUAAUGGAUUUUUUAAACAUCUGCAGUAAUAUUUAGCGAAGAGAUCAGUUUUUCACACCUUAAUUUCUCUCCCUGCAAUUACUUUUAAUACGGGUGUAUUUGUUAUAACAUUAUAAGCUUUCCAAUAUAAUAGAUACUCCCUCCGUCCCUAAUUAUAAGACCCUUUUGAGAAUUUUUUUUGUCCCUUUUUAUAAGACCCCUUUGUUAUUUCCAACUACAUUAAUUAUUUCUUUACAUACAUACCCUUAUUUAUUAUACAUCUUUUUCUUCAAUCAGCAAUAAGUAGCAUAUGGAAAACAUAAACUAACUCUCUCUCUUAAGGAUAAAAUUGUAAAAACAAUAGUGAUUACAAACAACUUUAAUACUAAUAUCCGCUUUCUUAAUUCCCGUGAUUUUAGCAAAAGGGUCUUAUAAUUAGGGACGGAGGAAGUAAUAAAUUGUUUAUAUGUUAUAACAAUUCUUAUAAACUUAAUACAAAUUUGUUUAAAUUGUCUAUAUUUGUUUAACAAAUUAAAGCCAAAGGAUACAUUUAUUAGAAUGAUUAGGUAUUAUUGGUGCUACUACUAAUUUUUCACACUCUGUAGGCUACUAAAACACAACCUGCACAAAGCUUACACUGAUACCUCUGAUCUUCAGUAAUAUCUCUUGUCUUCGUUUAGUUUCUUUACUCACCCGAACAUAUUGUUAUUAUAAUUAUAUAAAUAUUUAAUUUCUAUAUGCUAUUAUUUUGUUCACUAAUUGUGUUUUUUUUGUUAGCUUGUACAAGUUAUGUUGAGAUCAUUAAAGGAUUAUUUUUUUUUAAAAAAAAGGUACAUGCGGGCUGGCCCGUUAGCCCGGGAGCCCGUAUAAGGCCGGACUCGGGCUCUAUGAUUCCAGCCUGUAUUUAAAUAGGGUUUUUUAGUCCGACCCUGAAAAGUCCGCAACCCGCUCGGCCCGACCCGAAAUGGGCCGGAUAGCCCAUUUUGACAGCUCUAGUUCAGAUGGAUCACUAAAAUUAAUUAUAAUAUAUAAACAUAAAUUAAAGUUGUAAUAAAAACAUUAAGUAAGAAGUUGAAAUGACGAAGUUUGACUAAAAGGUUAGGACGGAUACUUAAAUAAUUAUAUAUUUAACAACUACUAUAAAUUAUGAAACUUACAACUGUUAACUAAGAGAAUUUUCAGUUAACAGAAUCCCAACCCUUACAUAUAUAUAUAUAAGAAUGCAUGUCUCUGUAUAUAUAAAAACGCAUGGACCAAGUUUCUUAUUUUAUAUAGGCAAAAUGUUGGUGGUUAUUUUGUUAAGAGAGGUCGAAUUUAUCAGCACUAAGUAUCAAAAUUUGGGCAUCAUUCAUAUUACUUUAGUCCACACUACUUUCAACACUUCCGUGUCCAAAAACUGUUGUUAAUAGUAAAUUCAACCACUCAAUUUUCUCGGGAAUUUCUGUAAAAGAAAUAAUUCUAUAGAAUUUUUGUUAGGGGAGAAAUAAUUCUAGAGAAUUGAAAUGUAAGUUUAGAGUAACAAUUUUUUGAAGGAAAGUUUAGAGUAACAUAUUAGUCAAGAAUGUAUUACGUACAUAAUGAAAAUAGCCUCAUAUUAUAUAAUCAACACGAUAUACAUCAAGCUACUUUUACAGAUAAUAAAACAAAAAACAAAAAAAACAAAACAAUAGGCAACUACCAUGAUUAUUUUUCUGAUUAAUUUUUACCAAAAAUAAUAUAAAAAAUUUAGAUGAUGACACAGCCAUUAGGAUCCUCUUCAACGCUUACGGCACUGUUGUAAUAAGGAUUGUACUGUGGUUUCAUCCGAUGAUUAUAAUAAGCAGGUGCACCAUAGAAAAUGAAAGGAUCAAUUAUCACAUUUUCUUUUUUUGUAUCUUUCUUAUCAUCUUCCUUCUUUUUAUCAUCUUUUUUAGGUUCUUCUUUCUUUUCCUCUUUAGCUGGUCCAACUGAAAGUAUUUCAGCAUAACAAAUCUUCCUUAGCUUAGCCACUACACGUACUGGAUCAAUAUCUCCUAUUAAGGUCAUUUUCUUGUCUUUCAUGUCUAUUGAAACUGACUCAACCCCUGCAACAAUAUUACAAAUACAAUCUCAAUAUAUCACAAAAAUAAGAUCAAUGAACAAUUGAUACUACAAAUUAGAAUUGUGUCCAGUGUGACUGUACACAGUAAAUUACAUCUAAACCGUCUAAUCAGAUUUCAAUGCAGAUUUAACUUCUUUAGGAGUCUUUGGAUUGUGACCGCACACGGCCCAGACAUUGAUGCUAUAUGAUCAAUGAUUUUUUUUUCUUCAUGAAACAAAAAAGCAGAAUUGCAAUCAAUUCAAUA